CGAAGUCGGUGGGGUAACCUUUUGGAGCCAGCCGCCUAAGGUGGGACAGAUGAUUGGGGUGAAGUCGUAACAAGGUAGCCGUAUCGGAAGGUGCGGCUGGAUCACCUCCUUUCUAUGGAGA
This 121-nucleotide ribosomal RNA is filed under the name Bacillus cereus. RNAcentral's name for it is "partial 16S ribosomal RNA". It matches the Rfam family "Bacterial small subunit ribosomal RNA", at positions 1422 to 1533 of the family's 1533-position model. RNAcentral also lists the same sequence under 1 other name. Lineage: Bacteria; Bacillati; Bacillota; Bacilli; Caryophanales; Bacillaceae. The record is from RNAcentral.